This is a long non-coding RNA of Acinonyx jubatus (cheetah), 15848 nucleotides long. RefSeq lists it as uncharacterized. NCBI's taxonomy places the organism in Eukaryota, Metazoa, Chordata, Mammalia, Carnivora, Felidae. The record is from RefSeq and is a predicted model, not a curated record. The transcript is spliced from 2 exons.
AGGGCCAGGGAUCUCCUCUGACAUUGCUAGGCCUGUGCCUGUGUUCUGAAAACACUCAAAGGUUUCCAAAGAAUAGCCUGAAAGGGCCCCACAGAGAUAAUGUUGUGUGUUCAAGCCAUCCCUCCCUCAUUCCCUUCCUUUCUUUUACCUUCAUGAGAAAUCUGUGUACUGAGCUUUGGUUCUGGAAAGAGUUGAAUUGGAGUCAAGAUCCUAAGUGUCUUCUCUGGGCCUCCCAUUGCUAGCUUAUGUGACUUUGGGCAAGUUUCUUAAACCAGUAAAUCUCAGUUUUGUCAUCUGCAAAAUGGGGAUAAUUGAAAUAGAUACCUCGCUGAGUUGGAAAUCUACAUGAAGUGCUUACGGCAGGAAAACCUUCCUGAAUAUAAGCUAUAAUAAUAUUUAUUAUUAUUUAAAAUUUUCUUUAAGUUUAUUUAUUUUUGAGAAAGAGGGAGCAUGAGUGGGGAAGGGGCAGAGAGAGAGACACACACAGAAUCUGAAGCAGGCUCCAGGGUCUGCGCUGUCAGCAUAGAACCCAACACAGGGCUUGAACUCAUGAACCGUGAGAUCAUGACCUGAGCCAAGGUCGAACAUUUAACCAACUGAUCCACCCAGGCGCCCCGAUAAUGGUAUUCAUUAUAAUGUUAGGUAGUAGCACGCACAUCAGCCCCCUCUGGGCCUCAGUGUCCUCAACUGUGUACUUGGAAGGUUCAAUGGGAGGAUCCUCAAUGCAAUUUUCUGCUCUAAACUUCUCUUUAUGCUUAAGAGACAAAAAGCGAGUGGCUUUGAUCCAACCCUGGAGUGCUAUUUCUCAAAGUCUGUACACGAUUUCUCAUGCCUCGGGAUAGAUGUAUCACCCAAUCCAUGGAAAUUAUAAGGAGUCCAGCAAGACCAGCAAAUAUGUGGGUCCCUGUUCCCCCAGACAUCUUACUUUAACUCAUCUGAACAGAAAACAUCUACCUGGGAGGAAAAUAACAGACACGUAGAGGAGAGGGAGAGGAAUGGAGCCAGUCAGCGGGGAGUCUUGGUGACCUUGGCAGACACAUCCAAGUGCUAAAAAUAGGGACAGCUCUAGUGGCCCUUGUUUGUAACAUGUGUGGGACAGCUGCCGCCUACGUGAGUGGGAUGUAUUUGGCUAGGCUCUGAGUUGCUGAUGGGGAAGAGCCAAAGGGAAUAGGGAUAGGGAGGAAGUUGCCUCCUCAGCUUCGAGCUCAAAGCGUUUUUCGUUCCCUUCCUAAUAAGCUUACUCUAAAGAAGCUGCUAGCCUCUCUCACUCCAGCAGCUGGAGGAUCCACCCUGCUCCCCCCACUCCUCCCAUGCCGGUUCUGUCUGCCCAGGGAUCAGAGCAGCGGUUGUAGGAGAGAGUGGGAAGUAUCAGCCAAAGAGGAGUUGGAGCAGGCAGACUGGCAAGGAGGCAGAAUUCUUCCAUUCCUCCAUGAGCCGCUCUAACCUGUUCUGUUUUGUCCCCUUCAAUUUCUGCUGCUUUCCCUGGGCCUUCAGUUGAUGCCCCGGUUACUCUGCGUUUGAUCUUUCCUGGUCUCUUAGCUACCAAAUCAGACGGACAAGUCCUUUCUGCCAGAGUCUGAUGUCUAAGGUGUUAGAUCCGGUGAAUUCAUAGUUUAUGGAGUGCCUAUCUUGUGCUGGGCAUUACGCUAAUUUACUUCAGACCAGAGACUGCAAAGUCGCAGCCUCUAGGCGUACCCAGACGACAGGUAGGAUCCGUCUAGUGUGUUCAAGAAAUCCGAACUACUUCCCACGUUGAAUCAUUGGGAAAUUUCACAUUGAAAAGCCAGAUCUCUGCUUUUCUAGAAAAAUGGAUAGAUCUGGGGAAAUUAGUAGGCCCACGUUGCUGCAGGCAGGUUUCCAAUCUGCAGGAGCCUGGGUGAGGCUUCUCUUUGUAUAAGGGAAUGAAUUCCCCUCCGCACUCCUAUUGCCACACACUUGGGGGAUUCCAUUAGUUAUCUGCCUGGUACUUAAAACUGUAACCCUCCUUAGUCCUCUAAAUAGCCCUCUGAGUUUCUCUCAUUGUCCUCAUUCUGUAGAUGAAAACUGAGGCUCAGUUCUUAUAGAAGUUCCAGGCAUCGUAUGGCUAAUACACAGUUUUGCUGGGUUUUGAAUGCAAGCCUACAGUGUGGGUGACAGUGUCAGAUUGCCGUUACCAGAAAAAUGCAGAGACUAGAAAAUGUGGAAUAUCGUAGGAGAGAUCCAUGCCUGGGGAGAGAGCUUAAGUAGAUGAUUUCUAGGGUUCAUUCCAGCUGUGGUCUAUAUACUGUAACUUCUCCUAAGGCACCAAAUUCUAUUGUAAAGAAUAUUUUGGGACACAUCGGGCCUUAGUUCAAACACUGGAGACUUCAUAUGUCAAGCCAGAAGAGGGAAUACAUCUUUAAACUUUUAUAUCAGUGGUCUUCAGUCCACCAUUGAUGAGGUGGUGUGGGAGAGCCUAUCCUGCUAGGGUAUGAGAACCGCAGGGCAGGACUGAAAAUGAGAAUCCAGCUAAGCCAGAGGGUCCAGGAGGAGACUUCCGUCCAGAUAGACCCAGAACUGCUAAUAAUGAGAUUGACCUUUCACAAUGUAUAUGUGUAUCAAAUCACCGUGCUAUACACUUUAAAUACCUUAAAAUUUUGUCAGUUAUACCUCAACAAAGCUGGGGGGAAAAGAUUAUGGUUUUAGGUGAAUCUUGACCCUGGUCGAGGAAGAGAAGAAAAGAAAAAGGAAACAAAUAUUUAAUGGAAUUCUGGUUACAUGCUGGGCAGAGUAUAAUGUACUAGUCAGAAAUGUAGACUCAACUCCGUGCUGAACACAAGACACACCUAACACGAAGUGAUUUUAAAAGGCAAAAAGCAAAGAGAUGGGUAAAGCGUACAAGGCAAAUAUAAACUAACAGCAAUGACAGCAAAAAGUACCACUUUUGAUCUUGAUAUAUGACAGGGUAAGAUGCAGACUGAAAACACAGAACAGGACAAAGAACUGGUUGAGGCUGAAGACCAGGGUUCACAAGGAACAUUCAACAGUUGUGGAUGCACCCCAAAUAACACAGCAGUGGCCUUUGUAGAAGAUGCAAGAAGAAAUCGAAAUGUACUAUUAGGUAAUUCAACAUGCCACUCUCGGUCCAAGAUAGGGCAAGUAGACAAAAGAUCAGUAAAGAUCUAAAAGACCCAAACAACGUCAUUAACAAGGGAGAUCUGGAUACAUCACAAACUUUGUACACUGAUAAUAAAGAACACACUUCCCUUUUCUAAAUGUAGAAAAUCCCAUUUUCUAAAUGCAGAUAGAACACUGACAAAAUUAACUAUAGAUUAGCUCACAAAAAGUGCAAUAAACUCCUUGAGGUAGGAAUAUUCUAAACGACAUUCUCUGAUCAUAGUGGAGUAAAAGUGGAAAACAAAUUGCAAAAUCGAAGUGCAGAAAACCUUUCUUCUUGGAUUUUUAAAAGCUGUGAAAUAACUCCUGGGUGAAAGGGGAAAUGGAAACUGAGAUGGUAGCCUUUCUGAGAAAAUGAAAAUAAUGCAUCCGUUAAACAUAAAAGAGAAAGGGAGAGUCUAGUUCAACGAUGGAAUGUGUGGAUUUCAGCAAGUAUCUCAUUCAAUCUAAUAACAACUCUCAGUAGUGGGUCCUCUAAUCUCUAUUUCAUAAACAGUGAAAUGUAGUUCAGAAGUGAGAGUUGAAGCAAACCGUAGAUCUGGGGUUCCAACACGAAGCCCAGCUUCUUAAUCACGAUAACCCAUUGCCUGUGACUCCAGCACCUGGCAGAACAGCUCACUUGAACUGUAAGUGCAAUGGCCAGGACUCAAUGGGCUCCUGGAUGCUGAGGCUUGAGAACUGAUGACAAAUGCCACAGCAGCUUGGGACUAAUCCCCUUGGUUGGUGAUGCACAGCUACUUAUAGUUUGCAUUAAAAACUCUAAUGUUCAAUUUCUCAAAUAGAAAAAGCCGUAGAACAGCAGGCAGGAUUGCUACUCUUUCUGUGGAAAAGGUCACCCAGCAGGCACUGAAUCCACAAGAAUAUGUCACUGCUAGUGGUUGUCAAUGAUUACAACAUUUUUUUAAAAAUUUCACUUCAUAAAUAACUCGUUCAUAAGCUCUUUGCUGCCCUUGUCCAGAGCUACAUCCCCAGUCCUCCAGACUAUUUGGACAUAUUCUCUACCGGGUGCUUUGUUUCCAGCUUGCUCCUUCGCUAUCCUCCACCAUCUACCCUACACCCAGCUAGCCAAGAGAAUAUGAAACACCCAAAAUUUAUCCAUUUGCUCAAGAUGGCUCCCUGUCACCUUCGCUGAUACCAAAACUACUCAGUAUUACAUAAAAACCUUAUGAGGUUCUGGAUCUUCCCUAAGUGUCCAGCUCUUCCCAUCUCAUCCUUUAUGCCCCAGCCACCCUUAAAUAAUUUACUUCCCUGACAACUUCCUAGUCACCUUCUAACACUCAGCACAGGUGAGACACUGGUCCCACUAUACCCUGUGUGUAGAUCUGUCCAUGAUGGCAGCUUUCAUAAUGACUUGAGAUUUUUUUCUUUUGUGCUUACCCAGUUCAUAAAGUUAUUAAGACCCCUUGAGGUCUGGAACAUCCCGUGUUGUCAUUUUAAUAUCCCAUCUUUCGAGAACAUUGCUUGAUACAAAGCAAGCAUUAAAAAAUAUGUGCUAUGUAUGAUAAAUGGCAUAUUCAUCUGUCCAUUUUUGGUAUUCUUUACCUUCUCAAACUUUAAAAAAAAAAAGCAAACAUCUUCCACUAAAUAGGCUUGGGAAUAAGAGAACAAAUAAAAACAUGGUUCCAUCUUGACAGGCACAGCAAACUUAAAUAAACCAUAACAACCCAUUAACAAAGCCUGUUACUGGGUUGAAAGCAGAUGGACCCUUAUGGAUGGUGUAUGAAGCUUUUGUCAUGACUAUGUGCUCCAGUAAUAGACUCCACUGUAGAUAUUCAUGGUUAAAUUAUGAAGCAAUGCAUACAGCUUUUUGUAAAACAGUGUGCAUUUCUAUUUACAGUAUACAAGUGAAAAAUCCACAGAAGAUGCCAUUGUAAUUUCAAAUAGAAGUGCUCCACUCAGCACACAGUGAUUCAGAGGGGUAUGAUCCAAUAAGUCCUAUAGUAGAUGCAGAUAUAUUCUCACAAAGUGCCCUCAGUGAUGUUACCACAAUCCAGCUCCCAAGUUGCAGCCACAGAGGAUCAGAAACCUGAUUAGUGGCAUAGUGACACUGGAUCCAUCUCCAAGGAGUGGGCUAAUAUUAACCAAAACAAAUGCAAUUGUCAAGCAGAAGUAAACACUGAAGUAGGACAGUAUGUAUGUCCUCCCAUCACAUACAGGUGGUCUGUAUUAGAAGACAAGUAGAGAAAUAAACAGAAUAUCAGAACACCAAGUAACAAAAACAAUAUGGACUUUCAAGGCAGCCUAAGCAAUGCAUUCUAUGUGAGGAAUUCAGCUGUCGCCAAGGUUAUCAAUACAAGAGAUGCUAGCAGACCUUAAGGUGUACAUUUUAGACAAGGAAGCGGGAAGCCACCCCUUCCGGGAUUAGGAGAGCUUUGCCAGAGUAGCCAUUAUGUUAGUUACUGCUUUACUGAGAGCCCCCAUCUCCCUUGGGCUGUGCAUAAAUACUCGGGGCUCCCCUAAGUGGAUGCCCCACUCCUCUUCUGUUCACCCAGUCUUAUUCCUGAUGGGGACCAGAGCAGUGGACUUUGUUUUUGCUUGUUAAAUUAAAUCAAAUUCUAGUCCUGGCUGUCCAAAGUGGCUCCCAUAUCCCUUUGUUUUGAGUUUUAGGUGAUCCCAAGUACUUUAGUUACACAUUUGGAAACACAAGUUCUUUUGGUGACCACCAGACAAGAGUAACCAUUUUACUAGUUGAGCCUGAUUUCCUACUUUUUCCAGUGUUUGGGGGCACACGAUAGCCCCCCUCACCCAAAGCUUAUGUAGAGUUCUCAACCAUACUCUUCAAACUUGGAAUCCUAUUGAAAAGGCUCCUCCAUUAGGUCAACCAGAGUGAAGAUUCAUGAGGUUCUACUGCCCAUCCUGUCUCUAUAGUAAAUCCUGGCUUGUGAAAAGAGCUUCUCCUAAGAGGCUCAUGAUAUGUGUAUUUUCUUGGUUCUGUUUUCUGCACUUUGGUUGGAUACACGAUGGUGGCCUCAUAACAGAAAGUAUUGCUAGCACACCACAAUUGACAAUGCAUUUUGGAAACAAAGGGGAAAAUGUGAAAUAAAGUUACAGUGGCACUAUAGUAAGUGGACACAUUUUCAAAUUAGGCCCAAAAAGGGCCCAAAUUAACCACCUGCUAAUAUCAGUGAGUAAAACUCUGGAGUUGAGGUUAGAAAAUGGGAGUUUGGAUCUCAGUUCUGUCACUUAGGCCCUUUCAUUUUAGAUAAAUUGCCUAAUCUCUCUGAUUCCGAGCUUCCUUGUCUAUAAAAUGUGCUUGCUGACACUGACCACGUAUAACUGUUGUAAGGAUUUGAUACCCCUGUAAGCAUCCCCUAAUUCCUGGUAGCAUAACUGUGCCAUAAAUGCAGCUUUCAACCAAAAUAUCCUCAGUCCUGGGCUCCAAGGGAGGGAGGAGUUUUCUUCCCAGCAGAAAGAAAUUUCCAGGUCAUCUCCUCAAACUGUUGGGGAGAGAUUAUUUGGUAAGACAUUCUUUCACAGAGGUUUUUAGCCUUCUGGGACUUCUGGCUCUCUGUAGGAAACUCAUUCCAGUUUCCCAAGUCAUGGGCCCACAGAACCUUAACUAUCAUGUAUAUAUCAAACUCCCAAGUUUUCAGCAACCCCCCCCCCCCCUGGCCACUACUGACCUACCUGCCACAACCCCAAUACUCACCACUGUUGUUUUCAAUGCCUUCCCAUCCUUUUUUUUUUUUUUAAUAUGGGAGUUUCCUUUUCUUUUUUGCAAGCUCAGUAGUACAUUAAAGCCCAAAAAGCAAGCUUUUCUUAUUAUAUCUUAUAUAAUAUAUCAAGGUGUUCAUAGCAGAAGUGUUUCUGAAUUUGUAUAGACCACCGUGGAUCUAGAAACCUCCUCACGUGGCUAAGUUAAACUUUUACCAUCAUGUAUAAAACUAAAGUCAAACAAACAAAUAAACCAACAAAAAAACAUGAGUAUUAUCUUUUGGAUGAUCUACCAGUUUCAUUUGAAAGUGUGGACUUCCCUCUACCACCAAGAGCACCAUUUUGGUCAUGUUUAUUCAUCUGUCUGUAUCCAUCUGUUACCUUUGUCUAUAUAUCUGUCUGUCUAUCUAUUACCUCUAUCUACUAUAGCCUCUAUCACAUUAUCUAUCUAUCCAUCCAUCCAUCCAUCCAUCCAUCCAUCCAUUCAUCCAUCUUUGCUUUUUACCUAGAUAACCCCUACUGAAAUAUUGUUACUCUGGAAGGGUAUGGAUAAAAAGAGAGAUGACCUUGGUGUUUUUCAACAGUGCUCACGUUCUGCUUUUGAGAAAUACAGGAAGUGAAAUAGAUAGUAAUGUUUCAACAGUUUGUUUAAAGGUGGUUGGGAAGGGAAAGUUCAGGGAGGUUGGACUGAAUUAGUCAGAGAUCUGAAAUAGGAAAUAAAGUCCUAAACAGUUAUGUUAUUUUUUUUUAAUGUUUAUUUAUUUUUGAGACAGAGAGAGACAGAGCAUGAAUGGGGGAGGGGCAGAGAGAGAGGGAGACACAGAAUCGGAAGCAGGCUCCAGGCUCUGAGCCAUCAGCCCAGAGCCCGACACGGGGCUCGAAUUCACGGACCGCGAGAUCGUGACCUGAGCUGAAGUCGGCCGCUUAACCGACUGAGCCACCCAGGCGCCCCAAGUUAUGUUAUUUUUUAAGUGUACAUAGUUAGGCAAAGCAAGAAGGCUUGCCUUUAGCAUCCACAACAGACCUAAGAAAACAGGUAAGACACUCCUUUUUAAAAGUUAUUUUAAUGAAAGCUUAAAUGUUAUCAAAAUAAUAAAAGCAGAUAGUUUUCAAAGAUUUAUUAUUAAAAAGCAAUGGGUGUUUAUCAUUCAUUUUGAAGCCUAUUUGUAAACCAUGAGAGAGACUCAUGUCUGAGAUAUGGGAAAUUUUCUCACAUUAUGUAUUUGGUAUUGUCCUUCUCCAUUUUCUUUGUUCUCUGUCUCUCUGGAUCCCCUGUUGGAAAGAUGACCUCAUAGAUUGGUUUUCUAAGUCUGUUUUUUUUUUUUCUCUAUUACUUCAGUCACACUUCUUAAAGUUUAUUUCUGUGACCCUUCUCAUGAAUAUAUUGUUUAAAUUUUAGCUAUUAUAUUUUAGCUCUUUAUUCUCUGAAUGUUCCUUUUUAGUGGAAUUUUGUUCUUGUUUUAUGGAUGCUAUAUUUUGUCUUAAUCCUUGGAGACUAUUAAUUAGGUUUGUUUACUUUUCUUUGUGCUCUUUGUUUUUUCUGUUAUUUUUUUUUUUUUUCCGCUUGUUUGUUCGGAUCUUCAUCUAACUUGCUGGAGUUUUCCUCAGAUGUUUGGUGAUCCUUUGGUAUCUGCUCAUUUUUUACACUGAGAGACAAAGAAACCUAUUGGAACCUUUGUGUGGGGAGGGGGUUUAUCAGUUGGUGAGAAUUCAUGUACGGUUAUUAUUUGGUGAGUCAGCCUUGCUGAGAGAUCCCUUCCAGUUCUGCAGAUGUUGAUGUUUGGAAGUUUCCUCUGGGUCCAUUAAGGUACUUAGGACAAUUUGCCGGUCCUUGGGUGUGGGUGGUGGUAGGAACACCCAGUUGUCAGCUUUCUGAGAGCCCCACUACUCAGCUUGCACACCUCACAUAGGACCCUGUUUCCAGCCCUGCAUCACCCCUGCCUCUGUCUCUGAUGCUCCCAGCCCCUGCAGGGUAUGCAGAGCCAAGGAGCGCACGCUUCUUUGGGUUCUCUCUGUAGCCCAUCAGGUUGUAGCAUUUUUGGCUCAUUCUUUAUGUGCAAUCGAUUACUGAGUUUCAUUGCUGUCUGUCCUUCAGACACAUAUUGAGCUCUGGCCUCUCAUUUUCUGGUGGGCUUAUACAUAUUUUACUGUUUUUCCUUACUGGGAUAUUUUAAGGGAGAGGAGAUGAACAUGAAUGGCCAAGCCACUGUUUUCCCCCCAAAAAACCUUGCAUAAUUUGCAUCUUUGUAUACAACAGAGUGCACAAAAGGUUCAUUUUAAUGAGCUUAAAUAACAUUUUCAUAGCCUUGUUAUUUUUAAGAAAAUCUGUUUCCUCCAUAGAUAAACUUGAGUGUUCAUCCUAAUUAUCAUAUAUUUUUAAUCUGUUGGAGAUGAAUUAGUAAGGUUUCCCUGGCAAUGGUAAGCUAGUGAAAAAAAGGGAAUUUAACUAUUUUUGGAUAGCCUUGAGGAAAGGAGUUGAGGAGAAUGUUCACCAAGCAUGGUUCCAUGAUUCAUCAAUACACAAUAAGAUGAGUUCAUUUUAGUUCAUUCCUGUACCUCUAAGCACCAUUCCAGGAAAAAUCUCAGUUUCCCCUCUUCAAAGAGCAUUUCAAAAGGUUGAACUUGACCAUCUGGGUGCUGAGAGACUUUUGCUAAUGUUGACUCUCAAUAUUUAGGUCUUGAUCCUUGGCUCUCAAUACAUUAAUUGAACUCCAUUUGGUUUGCAAAAAGCUGCCCCAGGAUUUUCCAGCUGAGAUAAUGAGCCUCUGAAAAUAACCCCGUGCUAGAAUGCAGGCAUCCUCUAUUCAAGUGGGCAUCACCUGCUGUGGGGAUGGGAGAAGGGGGAGAGAGGAGGAUUCACAGAGCAGCCCUGCCCUUCUUCCUCAGCACAUGCAUGGACUUUUACUUUCCUCAGUGGAGGAUGGUUUCAUGGCACGGAGAGCUGCAGAUACAUUUAGACAACACCUACUUGGACAUCCAGGUCCCGUGUCUGUUGACAGGUACUUUCUUUGUUCCAAAACAAAACUAGAACAGGAAUUUUCACGUUGGUGGUCCAUUCGACCUGGUUGAGAUGUCUUUCUUUUUCUUAUAUUUCAAUGUUUUAGCAAAUAGUUCUGACCAUCCAGGGUUUUUGCUAGGUCCUGAUCUGCAGCGGUUGCAGGGUUCUUGUCUUGACACAGCUUCUGGUCAGGUAGGGAAUGUGUACAAGUAACUGGGCAUUCCAAAACAGAACGCUAAAAGGUGAUGCAGGUGAGGGGCACCUGGGUGGGUCAGUCGGUUGGGAGUCCGACUUCGGCUCAGGUCACGAUCUCACCGCUCAUGGGUUUGAACCCUGUGUUGGGCUCUGUGUCUCCCUCUCUGUCUGCUCCUGCCCUGCUCACACUCUGUCUGUCUCUCUCUCUCUCAAGGAUAAAUAAACAUUAAAAAAAAUUUUUUUUUAAAGAUGAUGCAGGUGGAAAGGAUGCUCCAGUAGCUCCUUUGCAGGAAUACUACCCAAUCCAAAGUUCUGAUUUUUGGAAGGGGGUGGAUGGUGACAACGGGGAAUGAUUGUCAGAAGAAGUGAUGUCUGUGCUGAGACGCGAAUAAUAAACUAGAAGUUAGCCAGGUCAAAGUUUGGGGAAGGGAGAGAAAUCGGGUAUUCUUGGCAAAAGAGACAGUAUGAGUCUAGGCACCGAGGCAAGAAAAAACAUAGUUCUGUUAAAGAAUUGGAAGAAGUUCAGUCGCUUUGGAGUACUCUCUAAGAAGAAUGUGUCAAGAGUCUACAGAGGUGGUCACAUUCAGAGCUAAGCCCCUUUAUGUUUGGGACUUUAUUCUAGGCAGGGUCUAUAGCAGGGGAUUGACAUCACAAAGACCCCUCUGGCUUCAUAGUCAAGCAUGGACUGGCUGGGGGAGCAGUCAGAGGGUUACUGCAGAAAUUGAGGUGAGAAAUCAUCUUGGCCUCUGCUAGAGUAGGACAGAAGCCCUAAAGAGAAGUUGGAUGAAUUGGAGAGAUGUAAGGGCCAGAAUCUGCAGGAGUUCCUGAGAAAGUGGGCUUGAAGGCCUGAGCUAAAAGGAGUCCAGAACUAGUUUUGCUCUGUCAUUCUUGGACAUGGAGCCACCGUCAGUCAUACAUCUGGCCCCUAUCGCUAGGUGGUUACACUGGCCCUCGGUGAAUGGAACCGAGGAAAGUCAUGCUUGGCUGAAGGGUGGGAGUAAGCAGAAGCAUAGGACAGGUUUAGGCCUUUGACGAUACGGGCUUGAUUGACAGUCAGAGUGACUGUCUUUUGACAGUCUGAUGUCCUUUACCUGGACUUGCAGGCAUGGUGAGAAACCGCAGCACGUCUUGCAUUUCUUUUGCAUUUGCCCUAAUUCUUGGAAUAGCAUGGAGAAAUCGCUCACUGCAUCCAGAAUGGCAAUUGCACAGAUGCUGGUCGUGUCACUCUUGAAGCCUUAACUGAAGAAUGUUGAAUGAAGGAACCAUUUACAGAAGAGCAGGCUGUGUUAGAAGAACCAGCAAUGGAUGGAGAAGCACCCAGGUCUUAGCAACUGGGAAGCUGCUUCCACCCCAGGGACCGAGGAGAAGAGAAAGUUUCUGUGAGCUGGUCUCCUGUUCUUGCUUCUGAGUGGUUGCUGACAACUGGAAGGCAGAGUCUAGGGAGGCUGAGUGAUGUGCUUAGUACAUCGAGUUUUACUCUUGGAGCACAGAGCAAGGCAGAGAAGGGCAGAGAAUGAAUCUGGAGAAAGCAGAGACAAAAAAUAAAAUCGCAAAAAGUGUACUUAUGUUCUGUCUUUUCGAAAAUAGGUCUGAUGUAUAUACAAGUGACAACUAUACGAAAAACAUGGUUACCUCGAACACCUCGUUAGUGACUGAACCUAUAUUUAUACGGCCCUGCUUAAUAAAAGGUGCUGCAGGGGCACCUGGGUGGCUCAGUCGGUUAAGUGUCUGACUCUUGGUUUCGGUUCAGGUCACGAUCUUGCAGUUCUGGGGUUCAAGCCCCGCGUCAGACUGUGCACUGACGGCCCAGAGCCUGCUUGGGAUUCUCCUCUCUCUCUCUCUCCCUCUCUCUCUCUCUCUGCCCCUCCCCUGCUCUCUCUCUCUCAAAAAUAAAUAAAUUUAAAUAAAUAAAUAAAUAAAUAAAUGGUGCCAUGCCUCUUCUAGAAUUUUGAUCGAGAUUUCUUUUAGCCUCGGUGAUGCCCAGAGGAAAAGACCCUUUAUUUGUCUCAAGCUGGAGGUGCAGAAGGGAAGUGCAGCAGGGAGUGGCCAGGGUGGCUGAGCUGAGAAACGGCUUUCACGAUGGACUGUUGUCGUCUCCUCAGAGAGCAGGGGCCAGGGGGUGUGUCCUCUUCCAGUACAACAAAGCUGGGGAGUCAGAUAGGAGUGCUGCCGUCACCCUGCCCCAACCUGAUUCUAACAGUGACAUAGCCAGAGACAGACGAAGAUGGGAAGAGAGGAAGGGGUAUGUUUGAGCUGUAACCAUUCAUCAGUGGAAUCAAAACUGCAAAAUCUUUUUAAUGUUGUCUCAUCUAAAAUGCCAACUCACUUACCCUUAAUAGACACACUUGCAGUUGUAACGUGGUGCUUUUUUUCCCUCUAGGAGAAAGCGCUCUCCUCCACCCCUGUUAGGAAACACACAGUAAAGGCCAAGUGCUGCAAUUUGUUUUCGUUUCCUGUGCUAUUAAAUAUUCAGGCAAUCAGGAAAUGUUUCCUCAUGUUACCUGGAAACAAAACACUAGAUCCAGAAGUUCCAAUUCUUGGAGCUAGUUUCUCAAGCUCUCUGGCAAUAUUUUUUAUUAGAGGUGUUAGGCAAUCUUGAAAAGAUGAUUGAUUUUCAGGCCAGUCCAAUCUGGGUUUCAUUAUUAGCUUUUCUACUCAUGAUCUGGGUGACUUCAGUCAAUUUACUUAUCUUCAUUGAAUUUUUUAAAUAUAUAAAAUUAGGGUGAUAGUAUUUUUAUGUAUGCAUAUAGAAUUUUAAGAAUUAAAUAAGUUGAGGGUGCCUGGGUGGCUCGGUUGGUGAAGCAUCUGACUUCGGCUAAGGUCAGGUCAUGAUCUCACUGUUUGUGACUUCGAGCCCCGCAUCGGGCUCUGUGCUGACACCUUGGAUCCCGGAGCCUGCUUCAGAUUCUGGGUCUCCCUGUCUCUCUGCUCCUCCCCUGCUCGUGCUCUGUCUCUCAAAAAUAAAGAAACAUUAAAAAAAAAAUUUUUUUUAAAGAAUUAAAUAAGUUGAUAUGUGCCUAAUGCCUUACACCUAAGUAGGCACUUAGCAAAGACAAUCUCCUCCCAUUUACCUCUUUUUUUCUGUUCUAGAAAUAUCUAUCUCUCAUAAGAUCAGCAAAGGAUUCUUUCAGUGGCAUGACGAUGCAUUAAGAAUUUUUUAAUAGUUUUAUUAAGUGCUGGGAAAGCCCUGGGUAAAAUAUUGAGUUGAGAAGGUGUAACACAGCUGUUUAACAGAUGAAAAUCACAUUGUGACUUUUAUAUGUUUCUGUCUGAUGCUGGAGCUACAGUAGCUGACAGUUUGAAGAACUGGGUCAACGUGCAAAUAGUAUCUUUAGAUUAAUUUCUCCAGGAAAGACGGAGAAGGGCUUGAAUCACUAAGGGGGUGGAAUCCUACCACAGCCACAUACAGUUUUAUAGAAAUGUUCCAGUAAGUCUUGAUGGCAGGAUUCUCUAGCCUGCUGUCAGAUAUGUAGGCAAGGAGAGUGACAGAUAAAACAGCAUGCAUGAGCCAGAGAAGGAAUUUGAACCGACAUAUUUCUGCUGAUGCCAUAGUCAUCCCAGGAUCCUAUUGACUUCAAUUUGUAUUAGGUUUCCAGGCUUCACAAAUCCAUUAUCAUCAUGUUUGUGUACAUGUUGUUCAUGGGUGGCCCACGAUAUAGAAUGUGUGUUGUAGUCAAUUUUUUUUCUAGUUCUACAGAUUUUUCUACUGUGUUCCUUCCAUCUUUUCUUGGACAAUCCUUCAUAAAAUGAGAAGUGUACCAUUUGGAGGCAGAUGCUUACAGCUUUUGGUGUCAUGGAGGAGAGAAGAACUAACUAGUAAUAUCAGCAUUGAGCUAAGCAAACUAACCAAACCUCUGUUACAAACUAGUGGUCAGAGCAGCUGAGAACUAAUGAGAUGUAUUCUUGGAAGUCUGCGUGUUGGGGCUCCUGGGCGGCUCAGUCAGUUGAGGGUCCGACUUCAGCUCAGGUCAUGAUCUCUCAGUUUGUGAGUUUGAGCCCCGCAUCAGGCUCUGUGCUGACACCUCAGAGCCUAGAGCCUGCCUCAGAUUCUGUAUCUCCCUCUCUCUAUCCCUCCCCCACUCAUGCUUGCUCUCUCUCUCUCUCUCAAAAAUAAAUAAACAUUUAAAAAAAUAAAAAAAGAAGUCUGUGUGUUGUAGUGGAAAGAAAUUGUGGCUUUGAAAAUAGACCUAGGUUUAAACCCCAGCUCUUUGUGAUCUUGGGCACCUAAGUUUACCCCUCUAAGCCCCAGUUAAUCCAUCUGUAAAUAAUAAAAUAAUGAAAGCAUCAUGAGAGCCACCUUUCAGAAUUUUUACACAAAUUAAAUGUCUCUCAAGAUGACGUGUGUAUACCUUCAUGGAUAAGGUUGGUUUUAUCAGGGAAUAUAUAAAGCCACUGAAUGAAAAGGUAUACCUUAGGAGAACAUCAAUUUUGCUCUGCAUUUGGGGAGAAUAGAAUUUAUUAUAGAGUUUGUUCACAUGAAUUUUAAAGCUAAAACAUGAAAUUUAAAACAAAUUUAUGCUUGCAGUUAUUUCAGCUCAAACUUAGAUUCCCUAAAAGUACAAGUUGACUCAUUUCAACAGUUAAGAGUUCUCAGAAAGUUGUUAGAGGAACUUAUGCAUAUAGCGAUAUUUGGUAAAUGUUAUCAGUCAAGUCACAGUGAAAGAAACAGAAGUCAGUCUAGGUAACUUAAGCAGAAGGGUAUUUAAGGAAUUAGUUGUCUACCAAAAAUGGGAAGACCUUUUUGAUCGAGUCUCCAUUAAUGACCCUCGGGAGUCUUUAAAACUGAUUUAAUCAGGAAAAAGUAGAGAACCAGGAGGUUGCCAUUGGAAUUACCAAAAUUGUGCAGGACCUGAGGGGUGAUCCAGGAAUGAGGGAACUGGCACCUUGCAACUGCCUCUUGACACCCAGGAGGCUGAGUAAAUGGACACUGGCUGUCCCAGCCAGCUGCCAUCGCUUCUUGCCUUUGACCCUGACAGCCUUGCUUACCAGCAGUGGCAGUCAAAACUGCCACCUUCCUAAGCAAGGGAAGACAUCAAGUGUAUGUCUGGCAGAACCUAGCAUAUUUCCAAAACCCUACCUGUAAGGGACUCUGGGAAGAUGGAAUUUUUUUUUUUUUUUUUUUUUUAGCAUUCUAUGUUGUAAAGAGGGUGCAGUGAGCUUGAGUUAGCCAACUCACAGUAUCCAUCACACAAUGUUGGCUAGAUGAUAGGAGCUCAAGAAAUGCUAAUUCUCUUCCCUGUGCCUGUAAAGACUCAAAAUAAGAGCUUACAGGAAACUCUGAGCCUUGAUAAGGUUGGGGGAAUUGUGAUUAAACUAGUCCCUCCCCUACAGCAUCAGUUUUGAUGAGUUUUGGAAAUAGGUUGUAGUGGCAGACAGUAGGCUCACCAAAUAGUCCAUUUGUCCCCCCCCCCCCCCCGAAUCUCUAAGUCUUAUAGUUGUGUUGGGCCUUGUGACUAAUUCUGGCUAAUGAAAUAUGAGAAGAGGUGAUGUGUGUGCUUCUGAGCUGAGGCAGUGAUUGGCAAGUGUGUUCUUGGAGGUGCACCUUUAAAAUGGUGAUGUUUCCUUAAGACUGGCUUCCUGAGUGACCUGGUGGAGCAGAUCCCUACCCCACCCACCUCAGGCCCUUUGGAGAACAUAACAUGUUAUUUUCACAAACUUUAGUUAUGCUCAGUAACUGAGAUUUCAGGAUAAUUUAACGGCACAGCAUAAACCAAUCUUAUUGUGACCAAUAUGAUCAUCAUGGAAAUGUCCUAACAGUGCAUUCAAGCUGAGUAAUAUUUCCUGGGAGAUAACAGUCAUUCUCAAAGAGCUAGGCACCUUGAGUAAAUGCAGUUUUUUCCCUCUCUUUCCCAGUUUUUAUAGAUUU